This 254-nucleotide long non-coding RNA is filed under the name Lathyrus oleraceus (garden pea). RNAcentral's name for it is "Pisum sativum (pea) long non-coding RNA (PSAT_LNC024228)". Lineage: Eukaryota; Viridiplantae; Streptophyta; Magnoliopsida; Fabales; Fabaceae. The record is from RNAcentral.
AAUGACUUAAUCAAUUGAAAAGCAAAAUACCACUAACAUAUAAUUAACCUUGACUAACAUUUAACUAAUUCUUAUUAAUAUUGCUUUACUUUCAAGUCAUUUAUUUUAUGCAAUUUAAUUCUAAGUCAUUUACCAUUCAUUUGUCAUUUACAUAUCAUUCAACUUAUUUAUGUCUAUGCCAUUUUUACUUUGCUCAUUUGAGCCAUAUAUUGUGAUUGUAUAUAUUUGUUUGUGUACUUUGUUUGUGUUUGUGG